CAUCGCAGUAAUACCCACAAGAGAUCAUGAGUGCCAGAACCAAGAGAGUGCCAUAGGGACGAAACGGGAGGAGGCAUUGGAAACAGUGCCUGGCCUAUUUCCAGAGCUCCAAAAAAACAAGGAGGAGAGCAGAGACAAUCUGCUUUACAACAAGACUUGCCUUUGAAGACAGAGGAGAAAGGACCUGUAUCUCCUACCACAAGAGCUCCAGCUCCGGGCUCAGGAAAUGACUAGAAAAGCAACAUUGGUGAAACCACAGCCUCAGACCUUAGAGUUGGAAGAAGGACCCUCAGAGAGCCUCCCUAAGUCCUCAGUCUAAGAAUGAGGAAGCCCAGGCUCCAAGAGCGGCGGUGACCGCGCACGUCUUGGAUGGAGAAAGGACACGGAAGCCUGCAUCUGGACGUGCGUCGGGCUGCGCGCGGCGCUUCCCUUUGGCGCGGG
Diceros bicornis minor is the source of this 441-nucleotide long non-coding RNA. RefSeq lists it as uncharacterized. The transcript has 3 exons. The record is from RefSeq and is a predicted model, not a curated record. NCBI's taxonomy places the organism in Eukaryota, Metazoa, Chordata, Mammalia, Perissodactyla, Rhinocerotidae.